RNAcentral lists this ribosomal RNA (494 nucleotides) under uncultured bacterium. RNAcentral describes it as "bacterial SSU rRNA". It matches the Rfam family "Bacterial small subunit ribosomal RNA", at positions 8 to 526 of the family's 1533-position model. The record is from RNAcentral.
AGAGUUUGAUCCUGGCUCAGAAUGAACGUUGGCGGCGUGGAUUAGGCAUGCAAGUCGGACGGGCCGCAAGGCCAGUGGCGCAAGGGUGAGUAAGGCGAAGGUAACCAACCCCGCGGACGGGCAUAGCCGGGGGAAACCCCGGGUAAUUCCCGGCGACACGACGGCCCGGCAUCGGGCCCUCGUCACAGAUUGAUCGCCGCGAGACGGGCCUUCGUGGUAUUAGCUGGUUGGCGGGGUGACGGCCCACCAAGGCUGCGAUGCCUACCGGGCGUGCGAGCGUGGCCCGGCACACUGGGACUGAGACACUGCCCAGACUCCUACGGGAGGCUGCAGUCGAGAAUCUUCGGCAAUGGGCGCAAGCCUGACCGAGCGACGCCGCGUGGAGGACGAAGGCCUUCGGGUUGUAAACUCCUGUCGAGGGGGAGGAAGGCGCGAGCUUGACCGAUCCCUGGAGGAAGCACGGGCUAAGUUCGUGCCAGCAGCCGCGGUAAUAC